UUUUAUUUUUUGAUGAUGUAUUUCAAAUAACUAUCCGGAUUGGUAUUCUUAAUCUUUCUUAUUUUAAAUCUAUUUUUUUACAGAUGAUGAUAGUUGAUGCUAGUUGUUCUUUGUUAUUUUAGAGUCUACUUUCUCAUCGGGAUUGGAUUGGAAACUUUUGAUUUGUAUGUCUCGGAGAAGUGGUGAUCUAUUAUGCAGUUUUUGUUUGCUCAAGUUCUGAAAUAGUCUCUGACCACAUAUUCAGGAUGGGCGCUGGAGUGGAAUUUUGAAAAUCUCUAGGCAUUUUGUAGUUUUGAUUUAAGUUUUUCUUCCAUUGAUUGUCUUCAGGGAGCAGUGAGAUAGAAAUUGCUGAGUUCUCUCUGUAGGCUGAAGCUUUGCCAGGUUUGAGAAGUGGUGAUUUAUUGUGUUCUUCUGUAGGGCUGAGUUGAUGAUUGUUUGAAAUUGGACAAGCAACUGCUUUGUGGAUUCUAGGCAGUUAUUGGUUUGAAUGAAGUUUGUUUUCCACUUCUGCUUUUUUCCGUUUAUGGUGAGAUUAUUAGGCCUUUCUUUUUUUCCUUCUAUUGCAAGCCUCUUCCAUUUCAAUGUGGGCUGUCCUUAAUCUAUAAUGGUUCUUUUUACAUUUCAAUUAACAAGCUCUUCUUUAUUUGAGCUUCUCUUGCCGUUUGUUGUUUUUGGAAAAUGAAUAGUCAUUCACUAUCUUCCAUUGUUGGGAUUGUUUAUGAAUCUGGAAAGCUUGAGAUCCUCAAAGUCCUGGCUUGUUUCUAUCCUUAUAAUGCAUGCUGCAUUAACUAAAGUGAUUGGUGGUAAAUCAUGGAGAUAUUGCAAGUGUAAUUUAUUCAUCUCGCCUUUUUUAUUUUGCGAAUGCUAGCUGCAUACAAUUUUGUUAGCUUAGGGUUUUAUUCUAUAUGAUUUAUAUGUUUUCUUUUGAUACAGAAUAUUUUGGUGGAACUUUUCAUUUACCAGGUGAUUUCUAUGCUUUAAGGGGUUGUUGAGGAGUGGUCAUGGACAUCCUUAGUGUUUACGCUCCUUUGAUCAUCAAUUGAUGGAUUGAUCAAUCCUUUUGUUGUUUUAGAGUUGUUUCCAGAUUUGUAAUCCAAUGCACUGGCUGUGCUUCUUUUUUCGUGGAGCGAUCUCUUUGAUUGAGGAGGUUGUCUCAGGAAUGGGUACAUAUGAUGAGGUUGGUCAAUUAUUACUUAGAAUGAAUGAGCUUUUCCCGAGUUCGAUGAUCUAUUGACAUCUAUCUUUGGUUGGGUUGGUUUAUGGGUGGUGUCCUUGUCAUGCGUUGUUGAGGCUUUAAUACACCAGACAAAUGGAAGAGACGUAUUGCUUGUUCCCAUAUUCAAGGUUGUCUGUGGCACGAGCUUACUAGGUACAUGCUUGAUCCUGAUAAAAAACUUUUUACUGGGGACUUUGAUGGGUUUGAAACCAUAAUGGGGUGAUCUUCUACUGUGUUUUGAAAAUGUGGGCAUCCCACCAAUAACUGCAAUGGGUAGGUUGCUCUGUUGAGGGGAGUGGAUUGAGGCUUCUCUGCUUGCAGUUGUGUUGGGGUUUAGCAUGCUGUUCAUCAUGGACAUUAGUACUAGAUCGUGCACCAGUAUCUACUCCUAUGCAAAAUCUACAGUGCUCUGAUUACAAUUUUUUUUGUUCUGGAGAUCGUUUCUUUUUACAAUAGGAUGGAGGACAUCUGCAAUAAGAUCUUGCUGUGGACUUUCAGCUGCAUAUCUUUGGACUUGAUGCUUCUGGUUCUCGUUUUCCAGAGUUCGUUUUUCUUAUGAGCAAAAGAUUCUGGUGUGUCAGUGAAUAAGAAGGAAAUUUUGAAGUUCCCUUGCCAUUGAUCAACAGAUCUCCUCAGUUCUGAUCUCGACUCACCAUCAAAAAGUCAAAACAAUGUGGAAACAACUUGCUUUUAUAUGGAUGUGGUUUCUAAGUUGUCUUUAAUAGCAAUGGAAUUUGAUUAAGACACAGAAGAUUUACUUAUUACUGGACUCUUUCAGUUAUUUCAGUCACUGUAAGGAUAAUGCCGGCCUUCUUUUGGCUGGACAGUUGGCAUUUGGUGCGCUAUCUUAAUGGUUCACUUGAAGUGACUGGUUGAUCACAGAUGGCUUAGGUUAUUAACUUCUUGGGAAAUUGCUUCAGUCGGAUAUGAGAUGGGUCUAUUGUCUUUUCUUUGUUAUCUGGUUGCUAUCGCCUUGAUUCCCUUGUGAUGUAUAUAAGAUUUUUACCUGAUGGAGAUGUUUCACAAAACUUGUCUUACUCAUUUCUCCCAAUCUUCUGAUGUCGUUGAGGGUGGAUGGUCCCUUUAAUAGUGUACACCAGACAUCAGGAUGGUGAUCUUCAAGAAUGUCAAUACGUCAUCCAGCUAUACUGAGUAAUGUCUCUUCCUUGGCUAUACGGUUUCCCGCCGGCCUUUGUAUCAUUGGCUCUCUGGGAAAUUCUCACCAAGCAUGGUUAUUGUAAAUGUAAAUGCUAUUAGAUGUGAAAGUAUUGACUUGUGCACAGCUUCUGGAACUAUUGACAAUCUCUACUACGGCUGAGCACUUCAAUUUGUUCGUUAUAGUAACCUGGUUCUUUUAUAUAAUGAGUGUUUUGUUUUAAGUUCGGUACCUACCUUGAUUAUGUAGGCAUAUGAAAUCUGUUAUCCCUAAUUCUGUUCAAGAGGCAAUUUCUAAGUAUUUGUUAGCAGUACUUGUUUUCCUUCUCAUUGAUGCUUAACUUGCAAGGCCACAGCGUUUGUGCUGUCAGCAAUCAAGAGAGGUGGUAAAAUUGAGAACUAGCCAAGAUGCCAGUCACAAUUAUAGAUAUUCAUUCUGAUGAAGAGGUUUUGGUGUAUUUCUUUCGUCUCCUAGGGAACUGAAUUUGUUGCUGGGUUUUUGUUUGCCUAUGGUUUUUUUUGACAAGUUGGUUAAGCACAAUACAAUGUUGACUGACUGAAGAUGUAUAUUGGCCUUAUGUUUACCAUCUGGGGAUUUACUUGAACGUUCAUCUCUGGAAACAUCUUUGGGACACAUAAUUAUGAUGAUGGAGCUAUCAAUAGAAGUUUAAUGUUUGUAUGCGACUCCUUUCAGAAUCCCUCUCUUUAUUUGGAGUUUGAAAGUAGUUUUGACUCUCUAUCUUGACUUUUAUAUCUGUGGAUGACAAGUGGGAGAAGAGGGUUAUCUUGUGGAUUCUGAAUCUGUUUAUUUGAAGAAGCUGGGGUCUUCUAUUUGCAUGUCCCUCAGCUCCAGGUUGUCUUGCCGAUUUUAAUUCUGUUUGGAGUUAGGUCCAUCGAUUUGUGUUCCUUAGCUUCUGCAUUACUGCAUCAUCUCUUACAAUUUUUUAGCAUUGCUGAUCAUGAAAUGGCUGGGAUUUUGCUCUUACUUACGUUGUGGGUGGUGGAGCCAGGCUUAAAUGCAAGGGUAUUGUCAAGCCAACAUUAGUGCACCGUCCACAAACUUUCAGUAAAUCCAUGUUGAUAAGAGGGGGAGAGUUUUAGAAUGUUGCAUGUCCUUUGUUCUAUCUUAUGUGCUAUGAUACUUGUUUUGGAUCGUUCUUUAAUUGUCAUGUUUGUAUUCAUACUGGAAAGGAGCUUCUGUGGCAUGAGAACAAUUGUAAUGCGUGCGUUUUGUGAAUAGUUCGGUCUUGCCAUAAAAAAUUUGGAAACCAGUGCAGAUUAUGCAACUAUCGUGUCAACCCAGAUUGGUGAAAAAUUGUGGCGAGGAAGGCUAUUCCAGCAAUGCGACGGCCAUCGAAUUUGCUUGAGUGCAGCUAUGGCAGAUAGUUAAGUCACCAGGACCAUCUACGGGAUAAAGAGUCGUCGGGCCCUCAUUGUGGUCUGGCCGGGGGAGAGUGGGACCAGGCCCACUCGUUGCUGCUCAAGUAGGGAUAAAAUGUCUAGAGAUUGUUGGAAUAUGUGUUACCAAGGGAGCAAUUGAAUCUAGAUGGCUGCCAUGUUGUAAUUCUUGGUUCAUAAAGAUAAUGCGCUACUUUUCAUCCGUGGAUGUAGGUCAACUCGACUGAACCAUAUAAAUUUUCGGGUGCAUCAUCUAAUGGUUUUAUUUACUUUUUAUCCA
Molecule: long non-coding RNA, 4049 nt
Organism: Eucalyptus grandis
Lineage: Eukaryota; Viridiplantae; Streptophyta; Magnoliopsida; Myrtales; Myrtaceae
Exons: 2
Source: RefSeq, a predicted model, not a curated record